UGGCCACAGCAGCUGCCUGAAGAUGGAAAGCAAACCACAGGACCAGAAGGAUCUGAUAAUCCUUGUCAUCAAUUGACCCUAACUUGUUUUCAGAAGUGAUUUUGGUAGCCAUUCAUCCCAGUUCCUUUGUCUUAGCACACCCCAAAAUCAUCACAUUUACAAGUCAGCUUGAAUGAGUACCUGUGUUCCAGAGAAGCCCAGGGGUGGAAUAUCAGGUAGCUGCAGGGGAGACUUCCACUGUAUAGGAGGAGUUUGCACAGUGGAUGGGUUUGUUAAGGUGUUAAUCAAACUGACUCUUCUUCCUUCACUUCCAGGAGCCCAUCGGAUUCAAAUGUGAAUGAAAACCUAUUUAAUCUUCACAACAAAGUUCAACCCAAGGCAACUCCUCCAUCUGCCAUUGCAAUUGCAUUGAUCCUGGCUGAGAAGAACACAGAACAUUUAGCUCCUUCCAGACCAGAGGACCAGCAUGCAAAGCCCAAAUCAAAGGCUGCAAGAAAACAGUGGAACUGAAACCAAACCCACGGCUCUUUCCUGCAGACAGCAGCCUCACGUUCUAGUCACAGGACAUGGUGAAGACAGCCCAAAUGUAGCAGAAGAAAGAAAAAGCCGGGAGUCACCGCCUGUGUUUAUUUUCUCUCGAUCUGUAAACAAACCACGUUGUAAUCUGCUGUACCUGUUCCCAUCGUAAGGAUGUACGUGUUGGGAUCCUGUACUAUGGACAUCCAAGUUGUGGCUGCUGAGGAGAGGAGGAAAUUAUAAAUCAGAGAAAAAAAGAUGGUUGCAAACCGUGUAGGCCAGGCAAGGGAGGCAUGCUGGCUGGGCACCCCCCAGGUGGCACAGCUCCAUGUGGUGCAGUAGCUCCUAGACACAACCGGACCUACAAGGAAGACCAAGAUAAUAAAUAAUCAGACCAAAAAUAAUCAGAUCUGUUAUUGCCUCCUUCUGUCAGUGCCUGUGAAAAGAAGACUAGGGUGAAUGGUGAGGCAAAACUAGGGCUGGGCAAAAACUGACAAAGAAACUUGAAAACAUAUUGGUGAUAAAAUACAGUUUUGUUAUUUAAAAAAUGAAAUCUGGGCAGAUGUGGCUUGCAGUCAUUCUGCUUUUCUGCUGGGGUCGUCCCCACUUUCCCCUGUCAGAUCUUGGUGAUCUGCAAAUUUUGUUCAUCAAGACUUUUUUGUGCAGUUUUUUUUCCCUAAUAUUUUUUCGGGGGUUCACAGAGCCUGUUGUCACAGAUCGGAAACCGACCCAACGUGGGGGUCUGCACUCUUAAAAAAUGGCCAAAGCCAUUAACAGGCACUCUGGCUUCAGAAAGAGUGAAUGCUGGCCUCCCCACCGUUCCCUGGAUGCAGAUUUCAGCCUAUGCAGCUCUACUUCUAGUUGUAAGCUGCCGGGGAAAUGUUAAAUUAGGAGCAUCUCUGGAAGGAAAAGCAGCACAUCUGAAGUGCCUCACUAACAAUUAAAUGCCUUUGGUUAGUUGCUCUUCUAUGACCAGGAUAAAUUUUGUAAGGGCAAGAGCAGGUUUCAUAGCGGGAUGUUUCCAAGCCAGCCCGCUGUGUAGCAUUUGAGGACAAGCAAAAUUCAGACACCCUUCCAUAAAGAGCUCCCAAGCUGCUCUGAGCGGCACCGAGCGCUCCACAUAGCUCCAGCUCCUGAGUGCUGUGAGUACUCUAAUCUAGAGCACUCGGGUAUUUGAAAUCUCAAUUAUUUAUGUGUUCAUGCUGUGGGUUAAUGCUGACUGACACUAAAACACUGCCUAGAUUUAGCUUCAUAAAAUUUUUAUCCCCACUAUGAACUACAAGUCUUUCUCCAAUUUCAUUUAAAGGAAACGGAGUAUCAAAAAGCCUACUGAGGAAUUCAUGAGCAACCAGUUAUGGCCCCACUCUUCCUCCUAGCCAAAUCCUGGGACUUGAUUACCAUGGCAACAUAUCAUAAUUUUAAUGCCCUUCCUGGUUGCAGUUGUACAGAGACAAGUACAUUUGCUUGCUUCCAUAUUAACCAGCCGUCUACUUCAGGUUGGGUGUAAGGUUCGUGGCCGUUGCUUCCUACCUCAUGGUCCUACUAGGGUGUAUAUAUAUGUCAGUUCAUUCUGUUUGCAAAGUGUUUGGAAAAUGUAGUGGAAAAUCAGCAAACUUAAGCAAACACAUAGUCUCAUGUGCACUAAUCUUCAGGCACUGCACUGUAUACCAGUGGGAAGGGCAUCUGUGUGCAGUCAGACAAUUUAUUGUGGCACAGUACAGUGAGGUCUUUUGCAAGAAACUACGUGUUCCUUAUCUGGGUUAUGCCUUAAAAAAAUAUUUCAACAAAUAAAGGCAACAUUUACUGCAGCUGGAUUAAAAUUGGACUUCAGUCAGAAUCACAAUGUAAAUUAUGAGCUUUUAUGAAGACAUAAAAUUAUAUAUCAUCAUUAUUACCUAA
Molecule: long non-coding RNA, 2415 nt
Organism: Alligator mississippiensis (American alligator)
Lineage: Eukaryota; Metazoa; Chordata; Crocodylia; Alligatoridae
Exons: 3
Source: RefSeq, a predicted model, not a curated record